Molecule: ribosomal RNA, 465 nt
Filed under: uncultured bacterium
Lineage: Bacteria
Description: partial 16S ribosomal RNA
Rfam family: Bacterial small subunit ribosomal RNA
Source: RNAcentral
GAAGAAAGCGGGGGGCGUGCUUAACACAUGCAAGUCGAACGGAAAGGCCCCUUUGGGGGUACUCGAGUGGCGAACGGGUGAGUAACACGUGAGUAACCUGCCCUUGACUUCGGGAUAACUUCAGGAAACUGGGGCUAAUACCGGAUAGGAAUCCUUGCUGCAUGGUGGGGGUUGGAAAGCUUCGGCGGUUUUGGAUGGACUCGCGGCUUAUCAGCUUGUUGGUGGGGUAGUGGCUUACCAAGGCUUUGACGGGUAGCCGGCCUGAGAGGGCGACCGGCCACAUUGGGACUGAGAGACGGCCCAGACUCCUACGGGAGGCAGCAGUGGGGAAUAUUGCACAAUGGGCGGAAGCCUGAUGCAGCAACGCCGCGUGCGGGAUGACGGCCUUCGGGUUGUAAACCGCUUUCAGCAGGGGCGAAGCUUGUGGUGACGGUACCUGCAGAAGAAGCACCGGCUAACUACGUG